CACAUGCAGUCGAACGGUAACAGGAAGCAGCUUGCUUCUUUGCUGACGAGUGGCGGACGGGUGAGUAAUGUCUGGGAACUGCCUGAUGGAGGGGGAUAACUACUGGAAACGGUAGCUAAUACCGCAUAAUGUCGCAAGACCAAAGAGGGGGACCUUCGGGCCUCUUGCCAUCGGAUGUGCCCAGAUGGGAUUAGCUAGUAGGUGGGGUAACGGCUCACCUAGGCGACGAUCCCUAGCUGGUCUGAGAGGAUGACCAGCCACACUGGAACUGAGACACGGUCCAGACUCCUACGGGAGGCAGCAGUGGGGAAUAUUGCACAAUGGGCGCAAGCCUGAUGCAGCCAUGCCGCGUGUAUGAAGAAGGCCUUCGGGUUGUAAAGUACUUUCAGCGGGGAGGAAGGGAGUAAAGUUAAUACCUUUGCUCAUUGACGUUACCCGCAGAAGAGCACCGGCUAACUCCGUGCCAGCAGCCGCGGUAAUACGGAGGGUGCAAGCGUUAAUCGGAAUUACUGGGCGUAAAGCGCACGCAGGCGGUUUGUUAAGUCAGAUGUGAAUCCCCGGGCUCAACCUGGAACUGCA
This 579-nucleotide ribosomal RNA is filed under the name bacterium amp-w-82. Its description in RNAcentral is "bacterial SSU rRNA". It matches the Rfam family "Bacterial small subunit ribosomal RNA", at positions 52 to 625 of the family's 1533-position model. The record is from RNAcentral.